This 496-nucleotide ribosomal RNA is filed under the name uncultured bacterium. RNAcentral describes it as "partial 16S ribosomal RNA". It matches the Rfam family "Bacterial small subunit ribosomal RNA", at positions 28 to 523 of the family's 1533-position model. The record is from RNAcentral.
GAUGAACGCUGGCGGCGUGCUUAACACAUGCAAGUCGAACGAGGCAUUUAAGACAGAUUUUUCGGAAUGAAGUUUUUUAUGACUGAGUAGCAGACGGGUGAGUAACGCGUGGGUAACCUGCCUCACACAGGGGGAUAGCAGUUGGAAACGACUGGUAAUACCGCAUAAGCGCACAGCUUCGCAUGAAGCGGUGUGAAAAACUCCGGUGGUGUGAGAUGGACCCGCGUCUGAUUAGGUAGUUGGUGAGGUAACGGCCCACCAAGCCGACGAUCAGUAGCCGACCUGAGAGGGUGACCGGCCACAUUGGGACUGAGACACGGCCCAGACUCCUACGGGAGGCAGCAGUGGGGAAUAUUGCACAAUGGAGGAAACUCUGAUGCAGCGACGCCGCGUGAGUGAAGAAGUAUUUCGGUAUGUAAAGCUCUAUCAGCAGGGAAGACAGUGACGGUACCUGACUAAGAAGCUCCGGCUAAAUACGUGCCAGCAGCCGCGGUAA